UGAUUUUCGGACACUGCAGUGUCCGGACACUGCAUGAAAAACCGGUUUUUUUAAGGUUUUUUGAUUGAGCCGGUUUUUUGCUAAUUUAUGGUUUUACUAAAAUAUCCUUUCCUUAAAUUUCUCAACUACUUUUAAUCUUUUCCUAAAUAUAUUUUAUUUACAUUUUUAUUUUCUGUAAAUUUCGUUUUUUUUUUUGCCAUUUUUUUUCGAAAAAUAUUUUUUAUUUUUAAAUUGUUUUUUUAUUUUUUUAUCGUUUUUUUAUUUUUCUUUUAAAAUAUUCUUUCCUUAAAUUUCUCAACUACUUUUAAUCUUUUCCUAAAUAUAUUUUAUUUACAUUUUUAUUUUCUGUAAAUUUCGUUUUUUUAUUGCCAUUUUUUUUUCGAAAAAAUAUUUUUUAUUUUUAAAUUGUUUUAUUAUUUUUUUUAUCGUUUUUUUAUUUUUCUUUUAAAAUAUUCUUUCCUUAAAUUUCUCAACUACUUUUAAAAUUUAUAUUUUUUUCGAAAUUAAUAUUUUAGUUGUUUUAAGAGUAAAUUUUUAUUUUUUUCCAAAAUUAUGUUUUAUUAAUUUGUUUCCAGAUUUUUUUUAUUAUUAUUAUUUAUUUUUCGAAAUAAAUAUUUUUUUCGAAAUUUAUUUUUUUCCGAAAUUAAUA
RNAcentral lists this long non-coding RNA (649 nucleotides) under Salvia miltiorrhiza (redroot sage). RNAcentral describes it as "long non-coding RNA (SMIL_LNC013259)". Lineage: Eukaryota; Viridiplantae; Streptophyta; Magnoliopsida; Lamiales; Lamiaceae. The record is from RNAcentral.